RNAcentral lists this ribosomal RNA (192 nucleotides) under uncultured bacterium. RNAcentral describes it as "partial 16S ribosomal RNA". It matches the Rfam family "Bacterial small subunit ribosomal RNA", at positions 335 to 524 of the family's 1533-position model. The record is from RNAcentral.
ACUCCUACGGGAGGCAGCAGUAGGGAAUUUUGGACAAUGGGCGCAAGCCGGAUCCAGCCAUGCCGCGUGCGGGAAGAAGGUCCUUCGGGUUGUAAACCGCUUUUGUCAGGGAAGAAAAGGUUCUGGUUAAUACCUGGGACUCAUGACGGUACCUGAAGAAUCGGCUAACUACGUGCCAGCAGCCGCGGUAAU